Non-coding RNA from Mycena maculata, 95 nucleotides. NCBI's taxonomy places the organism in Eukaryota, Fungi, Basidiomycota, Agaricomycetes, Agaricales, Mycenaceae. The record is from the annotation of a GenBank genome assembly.
GCCCUCGUAGAUCAACGGUAGAUCUCCUCCUCACCAUGAAAAGGACUUCGUAAACCUUUGUGGAGGCAACGUGGGUUCGACUCCCCCCAAGGGCA